Passer domesticus (house sparrow) is the source of this 1451-nucleotide long non-coding RNA. RefSeq lists it as uncharacterized. The transcript is spliced from 4 exons. NCBI's taxonomy places the organism in Eukaryota, Metazoa, Chordata, Aves, Passeriformes, Passeridae. The record is from RefSeq and is a predicted model, not a curated record.
GAACUGCUGUGCCUGUCAGCUCCUGAGGAGGGGAGGCACGGAGCAGAUCCAAUCUCCAACUCAGAUCAGCAGCCCAAAAGGAUGAAUGAGCUGGGCUGGUGCUGAGCAGCCUCUGAGGGGGCUGGAGGGAUGGUCCUGGGGGAGGCAGAGGGGUUCAGAGCAGAAAUGAUCUGAGCAGGGAGAAACACGUGCCUGGAACCUGGAGGGAAUAAAUGCUGAGCUGGAAGCAGCAGCAAGAGGGAGAAGAGUGGGGAUACAAAAAAGGCUCUGUGGGGUGCAAGGAGCAGGGACUGAGAGGCAAAGUCUGGUCCUGGUUCUGCCACUGCCCUGCUGGGAGCUGAGCCUUGGGCUCCCUCCCCUUCCUAUCCAGGAGAAGAAAUUGCCUUUUGUAGCCAUUCAAGCAUCACCAAAAUGUGUAUCAUUCAAAGGAAACUCCUCCUGCAUCCUUUCUCCCAGCUUUCAGGAAUGUAAAAGAAAGAAUUAAUUCUGGGGUUUUUUUUAGCUGGAAAACCCAGAGCAUUUUGCUGCUCCCAAGGAUUUUAUCAGCCUGGGAAACCAAGCAGUGGCUCAGAUGAGGUGACCACUGGAUAAAGCUUCAUUAGUUGCCCAGAGGCAGCUCCUUGCUGUUGCCUCCUGGAAAUUCAGGAGGAUUUUUCCUCCCCAGCUGCUCCCUGAAGCUGUGCUUUGGUGCACCAGUGUAAAACUGGCAGCUGCCACCUCGGGUGCUCUUUGUACCUGCAGAACGAGUUCCAGCAAUAGCCCAAGCACGUGUUAUGGCAUAUUUGUGUACCACUGUCUUAUACCAGCACUGUUAGGGGGACAAAUUGGGUGAAAAAUGCAGUUUUUAAUCCCCAGCUGGUGCCAUGAUGAAGUUGUCAUUAGCUGUGCUCCAGAGCACUGCAGAGUGAGGGGAAGGUGGAGGGUGGGCUCCCCUGUGCUGAGGGACAAAGCUGAAAACAGAGAUUUGUGAUGAGGACAAGCAGGGGAAAAGGGAGCUGAGGAUACCUCCAGGUGCAGCUCUGGCACAGGGAAAGGUGUGAGGGGAGCAGGGAUACACAGCCAGCUGGGAGGAGAGGGGUGUGUGUCAGUGCCCCUGUUUGCAGCCUGGAGGGACAUUGAUUAUUGGGAUUAUUGAUACGACUGAGAUGAUGAUUGCCACUUUAUCUGUGCUGAGGGCAAGGCUGUGAAGGAUUAAGGCAAUGCACAGAAAAAGUGUGGGAUGAGCAUCUCCCCCAGUGACGCCUUGAGAGGCACCUAGAGCAGAGGCUGGGCAGAGCUACAGGAAUAAAAUAGGGAUUUAUUAAAAGGAUGCACCUUAUGGCUCCAUCCUACAGUUGUUUUCCUUAAAUAUCUUUAACUUCUGCUCUUGUGUUUUGAAAGGUUUUUUGAGGAGCUUUGUCCACAGAGUUCUUGGGCUCUUCUGGAGUUUCUUCCCCCUCAGCACUUGCCUC